ACGGGUGAGUAAUACGUGAGUAACCUGCCCUUGACUCUGGGAUAAGCCUGGGAAACUGGGUCUAAUACUGGAUACUACCUCUUACCGCAUGGUGGGUGGUGGAAAGGGUUUUACUGGUUUUGGAUGGGCUCACGGCCUAUCAGCUUGUUGGUGGGGUAAUGGCUCACCAAGGCGACGACGGGUAGCCGGCCUGAGAGGGUGACCGGCCACACUGGGACUGAGACACGGCCCAGACUCCUACGGGAGGCAGCAGUGGGGAAUAUUGCACAAUGGGCGGAAGCCUGAUGCAGCGACGCCGCGUGAGGGAUGACGGCCUUCGGGUUGUAAACCUCUUUCAGUAGGGAAGAAGCGAGAGUGACGGUACCUGCAGAAGAAGCGCCGGCUAACUACGUGCCAGCAGCCGCGGUAAUACGUAGGGCGCAAGCGUUGUCCGGAAUUAUUGGGCGUAAAGAGCUCGUAGGCGGUUUGUCGCGUCUGCUGUGAAAGCCCGGGGCUCAACCCCGGGUCUGCAGUGGGUACGGGCAGACUAGAGUGCAGUAGGGGAGACUGGAAUUCCUGGUGUAGCGGUGAAAUGCGCAGAUAUCAGGAGGAACACCGAUGGCGAAGGCAGGUCUCUGGGCUGUUACUGACGCUGAGGAGCGAAAGCAUGGGGAGCGAACAGGAUUAGAUACCCUGGUAGUCCAUGCCGUAAACGUUGGGCACUAGGUGUGGGGGACAUUCCACGUUUUCCGCGCCGUAGCUAACGCAUUAAGUGCCCCGCCUGGGGAGUACGGCCGCAAGGCUAAAACUCAAAGGAAUUGACGGGGGCCCGCACAAGCGGCGGAGCAUGCGGAUUAAUUCGAUGCAACGCGAAGAACCUUACCAAGGCUUGACAUUCACCGGACCGCCCCAGAGAUGGGGUUUCCCUUCGGGGCUGGUGGACAGGUGGUGCAUGGUUGUCGUCAGCUCGUGUCGUGAGAUGUUGGGUUAAGUCCCGCAACGANCGCAACCCUCGUUCUAUGUUGCCAGCACGUGAUGGUGGGGACUCAUAGGAGACUGCCGGGGUCAACUC
This 1051-nucleotide ribosomal RNA is filed under the name Kocuria rosea. RNAcentral's name for it is "bacterial SSU rRNA". It matches the Rfam family "Bacterial small subunit ribosomal RNA", at positions 102 to 1164 of the family's 1533-position model. Lineage: Bacteria; Bacillati; Actinomycetota; Actinomycetes; Micrococcales; Micrococcaceae. The record is from RNAcentral.